Molecule: microRNA precursor, 135 nt
Filed under: Bombyx mori (domestic silkworm)
Lineage: Eukaryota; Metazoa; Arthropoda; Insecta; Lepidoptera; Bombycidae
Description: microRNA bmo-mir-3388 precursor
Source: miRBase by way of RNAcentral
UUAUCUUCGCACGCUGACAAGUCAAACAUGCCUUGGCCCAUUCACGGCAGUUCUUACGCAUCAGUGGCCAAACGAAGCGUUGCGCAACGAGUUUAGCUGUCGCAUUGGGACCUGGAUGACUGAGCGAGUGGAGGC